Molecule: ribosomal RNA, 253 nt
Filed under: uncultured bacterium
Lineage: Bacteria
Description: partial 16S ribosomal RNA
Rfam family: Bacterial small subunit ribosomal RNA
Source: RNAcentral
GACGAACCGUCCUAACGUUGUUCGGAAUCACUGGGCUUAAAGGGCGCGUAGGCGGGCAGCCAAGUCCGGGGUGAAAUCUUUCGGCUCAACCGGAAAAUAGCCUUGGAUACUGGCUGUCUCGAGCGAGGUAGGGGAGGGUGGAACUUCCGGUGGAGCGGUGAAAUGCGUUGAUAUCGGGAGGAACGCCGGUGGCGAAAGCGACCCGCUGGACCUCUUCUGACGCUGAGGCGCGAAAGCCAGGGGAGCAAACGGG